GCUCUGGCUGAGCGGUCCGCCAAUUGGUUGGUACUGCUUCGGCUGGGGCUCACUUUCUGGUGGGCCGUCAUGUCCUUUACUGGGUGUGGCGAGGAACCAGGACUUUUACCUUGAAAAAAUUAGAGUGUUUAAAGCAGGCUAACGCUUGAAUACAUUAGCAUGGAAUAAUGAAAUAGGACGUUGAUCCUAUUUUGUUGGUUUCUAGGAUUGACGUA
Molecule: ribosomal RNA, 215 nt
Filed under: uncultured fungus
Lineage: Eukaryota; Fungi
Description: partial small subunit ribosomal RNA
Rfam family: Eukaryotic small subunit ribosomal RNA (bases 92-215)
Source: RNAcentral